This 468-nucleotide ribosomal RNA is filed under the name uncultured bacterium. Its description in RNAcentral is "partial 16S ribosomal RNA". It matches the Rfam family "Bacterial small subunit ribosomal RNA", at positions 28 to 507 of the family's 1533-position model. The record is from RNAcentral.
GACGAACGCUGGCGGCGUGCUUAACACAUGCAAGUCGAACGGAAAGGCCCUGCUUUUGUGGGGUGCUCGAGUGGCGAACGGGUGAGUAACACGUGAGUAACCUGCCCUUGACUUUGGGAUAACUCCAGGAAACUGGGGCUAAUACCGGAUAGGAGCUCCUGCUGCGUGGUGGGGGUUGGAAAGUUUCGGCGGUUGGGGAUGGACUCGCGGCUUAUCAGCUUGUUGGUGGGGUAGUGGCUUACCAAGGCUGUGACGGGUAGCCGGCCUGAGAGGGUGACCGGCCACAUUGGGACUGAGAUACGGCCCAGACUCCUACGGGAGGCAGCAGUGGGGAAUAUUGCACAAUGGGCGGAAGCCUGAUGCAGCAACGCCGCGUGCGGGAUGACGGCCUUCGGGUUGUAAACCGCUUUCGCCUGGGACGAAGCGUUAGUGACGGUAAUGGGUAAAGAAGCACCGGCUAACUACGUG